This 331-nucleotide unclassified non-coding RNA is filed under the name soil metagenome. Its description in RNAcentral is "partial contains 5.8S ribosomal RNA, internal transcribed spacer 2, and large subunit ribosomal RNA". The stretch from base 1 to 120 matches the Rfam family "5.8S ribosomal RNA", at positions 35 to 154 of the family's 154-position model. The record is from RNAcentral.
GAUGAAGAACGUAGCGAAAUGCGAUAAGUAAUGUGAAUUGCAGAAUUCAGUGAAUCAUCGAAUCUUUGAACGCACAUUGCGCCCCCUGGUAUUCCGGGGGGCAUGCCUGUUCGAGCGUCAUUUCACCACUCAAGCCUCGCUUGGUAUUGGGCAACGCGGUCCGCCGCGUGCCUCAAAUCGUCCGGCUGGGUCUUCUGUCCCCUAAGCGUUGUGGAAACUAUUCGCUAAAGGGUGUUCGGGAGGCUACGCCGUAAAACAACCCUAUUUCUAAGGUUGACCUCGGAUCAGGUAGGGAUACCCGCUGAACUUAAGCAUAUCAAUAAGCGGAGGA